AAAGAGCUAUAACCUAAAGCAGAAUUCUUUUAAAUCUCCUAGUCUACUCUAGAAGACAAACUCCUUGGGACAGAUGGGAGUCAGCCCAGGAAGAAGGGAAAGAAGGAAUUUUAGGUAAAGAAAAUGCUACCUCUCUGAAUCCAGAACUGAACUGUUGGAGAAGAUACCAUAAAGAAGCCUCCAGACUAGCCAGCUUCACAAAAAAUGAACUUUGGGUGUGGUUGAUUGAACAUUUAUUUGUAUCUAUACUUUCAUGCCAAAGGGGACUGCCCCCUAACUGGCUUUUUGGCAAUGUGUCCAGCAAUUAUUGGUUUUUUUUUUCUCUUAUCCUCAAAUUACUGUAAUGUUUAAGUUGAUUAUGUUUUCAUGAUCCUUUUUGGGGAGACUUGUCUCCCCAAUAACGAUCAAAUGGAGAAAUAUAAAAAUAGACUCAAACUCUGGACUUCAAUCCCCACAAGCCCUUGCUCCACUUCCCCAAAAUGCUUUGUAAUCCUACGGAAUUCUGAGGUGGGCUGAGAUCGAGAAGGGAUUUAAGCUGAUUGCAAAGGCUUUUGGGGCUCUUUUGGACUUCUGUUUUGGGGCAGAUGUGGCUCUUUCCAUAAUGUAGGUGAGGUCUUGUCUAGGCCUCUCUGGCCUAGGCACGUUUUCCUUAUCCUGUAUUUUCUUUAAUCCUUAAUCUUUAACAAACCUCUAAAAAUAUAAUACUCCUUGCAGAGAGAAACUAAUUUCUACCUGCCUCAGUCUCCCCUAAAUUUUAAUCUUUACAGCUCUAUGAUUUCUUGGGGUCACUGACUAUGGCUUUCAGAUUUGGACUGAAGAUUCUUGGACUUCUUUGGACUAAGAAGACUCUUGUCUCAUUAGUUCACCAUCUUCCUUCUUAACUAUUGAAGUGCAAAGGUGAAAACUAUAAAAACAAUUUUGACCUCACAGACCAGAUCUCCAGAAAGGGUCUCAGGGACUAUACUUUGAGAAUUGCUGGGUUAGAACAUUUAGUUAGUGGAUCUGCUUUGUACAGAAAACCAAAAAAAGAAAUUAAUUACAGUGUGGUUUGUUGGAUAUUAACUUCUGAUCCAUUAGCCUUCUAAGUGAAGGGUAGCUAAAUACAGACCUGACGUCAUUUAGAAGACACUCAGAUCUCUCUGAAAAAAAAAAUAAAACAAGUUUCUGUGUUGAACUUAAGGUCUUA
This 1186-nucleotide long non-coding RNA is filed under the name Monodelphis domestica (gray short-tailed opossum). RNAcentral describes it as "lncRNA (ENSMODG00000039392.1)". The record is from RNAcentral. Lineage: Eukaryota; Metazoa; Chordata; Mammalia; Didelphimorphia; Didelphidae.